CAGGAACUGCUGGCAGAACCACCUGGCCCUCCACGGAGGCUCAGCAUGGAAAAGAGAAGCGACAGGAAUGCAGUCCAUGAAUCACCUUUCAACCAAAGACUAAGAGGCUUCAGCAUUAAGGAGCCAAGAAUAUGAUGGCACAUCAGCAAAAUAAGAUGUCACCUAGCCCAAUUUAGAUGUCACCUAAUCCAAUCCCCAAUUUUCCAGAGAGGGUAUUACCUUAGGUCACACAGCUGUUAGUGGCAGAGUCAGAUCUCCUGGCCGGUAGAUUAGAAAACACCUUGAAUGUUUCAAAGGUCUCAGUGAUAACAGCUCACCAUUCAUAGUCAGGAUCGAGUAAGGUGUUUUAGGAACCUGAGAUUCCUUUCUGUUCCACAUGUGGCUGAUGCUCUGUCCCAAGGUCCCUAAAUGACCUUUAUGUUUUCCAACGCUUUCGUCUCUCAAAGCAAGCCCUUCUUUGAUUUCCUCUUAGGCACUUGUGUCAUAUUUCCUUCCAUUUCCCAGUCUAUUUUAAAACUUUCCUAAUGUAACCAAGUGAAUUUCUGUCUGCAUUUG
Talpa occidentalis (Iberian mole) is the source of this 555-nucleotide long non-coding RNA. RefSeq lists it as uncharacterized. The transcript has 3 exons. NCBI's taxonomy places the organism in Eukaryota, Metazoa, Chordata, Mammalia, Eulipotyphla, Talpidae. The record is from RefSeq and is a predicted model, not a curated record.